UCACGUCGGAUGUGAAACUCUGGGGCUUAACCCCAGACCUGCAUUCGAUACGGGCGAGCUUGAGUAUGGUAGGGGAGUCUGGAAUUCCUGGUGUAGCGGUGGAAUGCGCAGAUAUCAGGAGGAACACCAAUGGCGAAGGCAGGACUCUGGGCCAUUACUGACACUGAGGAGCGAAAGCGUGGGGAGCGAACAGGAUUAGAUACCCUGGUAGUCCACGCCGUAAACGGUGGGCACUAGUUGUGGGGACCUUCCACGGUCUCUGCGACGCAGCUAACGCAUUAAGUGCCCCGCCUGGGGAGUACGAUCGCAAGAUUAAAACUCAAAGGAAUUGACGGGGCCCCGCACAAGCAGCGGAGCAUGCGGCUUAAUUCGACGCAACGCGAAGAACCUUACCAAGGCUUGACAUAUACAGGAAUAUGGCAGAGAUGUCAUAGCCGCAAGGUCUGUAUACAGGUGGUGCAUGGUUGUCGUCAGCUCGUGUCGUGAGAUGUUGGGUUAAGUCCCGCAACGAGCGCAACCCUCGUUCUGUGUUGCCAGCAUUUAGUUGGGGACUCACAGGAGACUGCCGGGGUUAACUCGGAGGAAGGUGGGGAUGACGUCAAAUCAUCAUGCCCCUUAUGUCUUGGGCUGCACGCAUGCUACAAUGGCUGGUACAAACGGCUGCAAUACCGCAAGGUGGAGCGAAUCCGAGAAAGCCAGUCUCAGUUCGGAUUGGGGUCUGCAACUCGACCCCAUGAAGUCGGAGUUGCUA
This 751-nucleotide ribosomal RNA is filed under the name uncultured bacterium. RNAcentral's name for it is "bacterial SSU rRNA". It matches the Rfam family "Bacterial small subunit ribosomal RNA", at positions 583 to 1337 of the family's 1533-position model. The record is from RNAcentral.